CGCACAUUGCGCCCAUUAGUAUUCUAGUGGGCAUGCCUGUUCGGGCGUCAUUUCAACCCUUAAGCCCUCGUUGCUUAGUGUUGGGAGCCUACAGAGCACUGUAGCUCCCCAAAGUUAGUGGCGGAGUCGGUUCACACUCUAGACGUAGUAAAUUUUCACCUCGCCUGUAGUUGGACCGGUCCCCUGCCGUAAAACACCCCAAUAUCUCAAGGUUGACCUCGGAUCAGGUAGGAAUACCCGCUGAACUUAA
This 250-nucleotide unclassified non-coding RNA is filed under the name Xylariaceae sp. RNAcentral's name for it is "partial contains 5.8S ribosomal RNA, internal transcribed spacer 2, and large subunit ribosomal RNA". Lineage: Eukaryota; Fungi; Ascomycota; Sordariomycetes; Xylariales; Xylariaceae. The record is from RNAcentral.